Molecule: ribosomal RNA, 233 nt
Filed under: uncultured bacterium
Lineage: Bacteria
Description: partial 16S ribosomal RNA
Rfam family: Bacterial small subunit ribosomal RNA
Source: RNAcentral
UACGUAGGGUGCAAGCGUUGUCCGGAAUUAUUGGGCGUAAAGAGCUCGUAGGCGGUCUGUUGCGUCGGCUGUGAAAACCCGAGGCUCAACCUCGGGCCUGCAGCCGAUACGGGCAGACUAGAGUUCGGCAGGGGAGACUGGAAUUCCUGGUGUAGCGGUGAAAUGCGCAGAUAUCAGGAGGAACACCGGUGGGCGAAGGCGGGUCUCUGGGCCGAUACUGACGCUGGAGGAGC